This is a long non-coding RNA of Leopardus geoffroyi (Geoffroy's cat), 805 nucleotides long. RefSeq lists it as uncharacterized. Lineage: Eukaryota; Metazoa; Chordata; Mammalia; Carnivora; Felidae. The transcript is spliced from 3 exons. The record is from RefSeq and is a predicted model, not a curated record.
GAGGAGACUUCAGUUCAAAUCUGAACUAGAGACUUGGUUUUAGGCUCAGUGCCUGGUUCAUGGGCAAGAAACCUGUAUCUUUUAUCUGGGGUCCAGUCUUUCUGUGCCUCUUAGUUGCCUGGCCCAGACCUCUGAGGUCCCAUGCCUUGCAGCCUCACUAUGAAGUUUGGUUUGUAUCACUGAAUUGGGAUAAAAAUUUAAUCCUCUUGUUGGUUAUAUGGGGUCUGGAUACCUACCUGCCUUUAUGGGGUAGAAAGUCUCAGAGAGGUUAUGUACCUUGCCCAAGGCCACAGAGUUUAGAGCACCAAGGUCAAGAUUAGAACCCAGGCAUUCUGAUUCAAGAUCCAGUGCUCUUCCCAUGGCAACAGGUACUUCCCAUCUGCCACGUCCCAGAUCACGUGGUUCCACAAACACCAUCAAACCACAUUCUCUCUGAGCUCCUUCCUGGAGUGCAUUAGGCUAAAGGAGACCACUAAGGAGGUUAUAGGACCAUGCUCUGUAUAUCAAGACCAAUAAGCUUUUCUAAUGUUUCUGAUGACUACAAAGAAGCUGAAGAAGGAUGGAUGGACCUGGCCUGUUGAAGAGUGCUAGCCCUCUUGUGAUGAGGAUGAUGGUGAUGGCGAUGAGGAUAAUGAAGAUGGUUGCUGAGUUGUACCUAACGGAAUCUACUCGUGAUUUUAUCGGUCAUUGUUUACAUGUGUGAAGGUGAGCCUAACUGCUUGUUUUAUUUUUUCACCGUAUAUAGUUUCCAUAUAGUUCCAUAAUUGCUUUUUUUCCCCAUAUAGUUGAGUUAGUUUUUAGUUGU